AUUGAACGAGAGAGGGAGGAGGGAAAGAGGAAAGUCGAAAGGCAGCGCGGACUUCGGGGUGGAGGCGAGUGGCGAACGGGUGAGUAAUGUAUCGGAACGUGCCCAGUAGCGGGGGAUAACUACGCGAAAGCGUAGCUAAUACCGCAUACGCCCUACGGGGGAAAGCAGGGGAUCGUAAGACCUUGCACUAUUGGAGCGGCCGAUAUCGGAUUAGCUAGUUGGUGAGGUAACGGCUAACCAAGGCGACGAUCCGUAGCUGGUUUGAGAGGACGACCAGCCACACUGGGACUGAGACACGGCCCAGACUCCUACGGGAGGCAGCAGUGGGGAAUUUUGGACAAUGGGGGCAACCCUGAUCCAGCCAUCCCGCGUGUGCGAUGCAGGCCUUCGGGUUGUAACUCCCUUUUGGCCGGAAAGAAACGUCGCGGGCUCCUACCCCGUGGAACUGACGGUACCUGCAGACUAAGCCCCUCCUCCCUACGUC
This 484-nucleotide ribosomal RNA is filed under the name uncultured bacterium. Its description in RNAcentral is "partial 16S ribosomal RNA". It matches the Rfam family "Bacterial small subunit ribosomal RNA", at positions 29 to 507 of the family's 1533-position model. The record is from RNAcentral.